This 1283-nucleotide unclassified non-coding RNA is filed under the name Hevea brasiliensis (rubber tree). Lineage: Eukaryota; Viridiplantae; Streptophyta; Magnoliopsida; Malpighiales; Euphorbiaceae. The record is from RNAcentral.
AUUAAUUACAAACGAAGUAUAUAAGAAUUAAUAUAAGGGAUAAGCUAUCCCAUUAUGCAGCAUAUCUUAUAUUACAGUGAAAAACUAUCAUUUGAUAAGAAUGCAUCUUACAGGGGAUCCUUCAGACCCUAGCAACCUCAAUGGUAAACAAUGGACACAAUAUAUUCCAGGGUUGACAUUGUCAAGUUUUAAGCCUUCCACCAGAAUGAUUUCCCUGCUUUCUAGAAAGAUUAGAUGAGUUGGGAUUGCCUCACUCCAAACACCAACAGAUAAGUAAUCAAUUCCAACAAGCUUGAUGUCUGUGUUUUCUACCAGCCAUUUUGCCCCAUCUACUGUAAAUCCCGCAAAGCUUGUGUCAAAUUGUGGUUUGAACAUAAGCCCUCUACACUUGAAUCGCUUUGAAUGUUGUUAAGAUAACUCAAACAUGCAAGUUGGUAGUGGAUUGAUGUGGUGCAUGGUAAACUGUUUAUUUUUUUAUUUGCCUGACUUUGAUUUUGAUUAAGAUUCGAAGUUGAGACCUCAUAAUUUUUGAAAUAAUUUUAAUAAUUUUGAGUUUUUAUUUAUACACCAAUUACCUCUAAAAAUAUCAACUUUUAUAUGCCGACAUAUGUUAAGCAAUGAGCUGUAAUUGAUGCAAACUUACCUGUGAGUGUUUAGUGUCCUGAAAAGCACGCGACGUAUUGCCUUGGGAAUAUUUAGGGACUUCAUAACAUCAGCAGUUAUGUUGGUAUCUCUUGGAACAUCAAUUAAUAGCCCAGGACCGUUAAGCACUUCGAGGUCAAGGGUAUCCACAUCGAAGCCUGCUUCGAAGUAGUGCUCGAAAAAGUUCGCCGGUGUAUCUACGUGUGUACCAGCGUGAACGGAGAUCUUCAGGUCGGAGAUGUAAGCGAACGAUCCAUUCUUCAUGCUGGCUUGGAGCCAGAGAAACUGUCCUAGCCCAUUAUCGGAGCCAUGCCACGGCAUGUCGCUUGUGUAUCUGUGGGUGAUGUCGAAGAUUCUCCCGUUUCCAUAUACUUCCCGGCGGACUGGGAUUAGAUUGUCGUUUUGGGAAGCGAAGAUGGAGGUGUCAGCGGUGCCAGGGAUGGUGGGGUAGGUUGCAGUGGAGGCGGUGGUGGAGAGGCAAGAAAGGAGCAACGACACCAACAAGAGAAGAGAGGUUAUGUUUUUUGGUUCAGUUUUGGCCAUAAGACUAAUGGGAGAUCUUCUGUUCUGCAAAUUUGAUUCCUCGUCAAUAUAAUUUAGUUUGUAGCUUAGCAAAAUAAAUCAUUGAGAGCCAUGAGUUU